Molecule: ribosomal RNA, 250 nt
Filed under: uncultured bacterium
Lineage: Bacteria
Description: partial 16S ribosomal RNA
Rfam family: Bacterial small subunit ribosomal RNA
Source: RNAcentral
UACGUAGGGUACGAGCAUUAAUCGGAAUUAUUGGGCGUAAAGGGCGCGUAGGCGGAUAUAUAAGUCAAGUGUGAAAUACCAAAGCUCAACUUUGGUGCUGCAUUUGAAACUAUAAAUCUAGAGGAUUGACGGAGAAAGCGGAAUUCCACGUGUAGCGGUGAAAUGCGUAGAUACGUGGAGGAACACCGGUGGCGAAAGCGGCUUUCUAGUUUUUACCUGACGCUGAGGCGCGAGAGCAAGGGGAGCAAAC